This 465-nucleotide ribosomal RNA is filed under the name Vreelandella stevensii. RNAcentral describes it as "partial 16S ribosomal RNA". It matches the Rfam family "Bacterial small subunit ribosomal RNA", at positions 338 to 795 of the family's 1533-position model. The record is from RNAcentral. Lineage: Bacteria; Pseudomonadati; Pseudomonadota; Gammaproteobacteria; Oceanospirillales; Halomonadaceae.
CCUACGGGAGGCAGCAGUGGGGAAUAUUGGACAAUGGGGGCAACCCUGAUCCAGCCAUGCCGCGUGUGUGAAGAAGGCCCUCGGGUUGUAAAGCACUUUCAGUGAGGAAGAACGCCUGGUGGUUAAUACCUAUCAGGAAAGACAUCACUCACAGAAGAAGCACCGGCUAACUCCGUGCCAGCAGCCGCGGUAAUACGGAGGGUGCGAGCGUUAAUCGGAAUUACUGGGCGUAAAGCGCGCGUAGGUGGCUUGAUAAGCCGGUUGUGAAAGCCCCGGGCUCAACCUGGGAACGGCAUCCGGAACUGUCAAGCUAGAGUGCAGGAGAGGAAGGUAGAAUUCCCGGUGUAGCGGUGAAAUGCGUAGAGAUCGGGAGGAAUACCAGUGGCGAAGGCGGCCUUCUGGACUGACACUGACACUGAGGUGCGAAAGCGUGGGUAGCAAACAGGAUUAGAUACCCGUGUAGUC